This is a long non-coding RNA of Xiphophorus couchianus (Monterrey platyfish), 1588 nucleotides long. RefSeq lists it as uncharacterized. NCBI's taxonomy places the organism in Eukaryota, Metazoa, Chordata, Actinopteri, Cyprinodontiformes, Poeciliidae. The record is from RefSeq and is a predicted model, not a curated record. The transcript is spliced from 4 exons.
UUUUAUUAAUCGCUCUAUCGGUCAUGGACUAUAACUUGACAUCAGGUCAGGCUGAGACAGCGCUCACUUGAACCAAAAUGUUUUUGGUCAAUUUUGAGAAAAAAUGUUGAUAAACUCAGAAAAAUGUGGGGAUCUGUUGAUUUCUGUGUGAAUUUUGUGGUUAUUUGUGAAAAACUGGAGGGGCCUAUUGCUGUAAUUUGGAGUCUCGAGGGCCACAUAGAAAGCUAUGGCGGGCCAGAUUUGGCCCUCGGGCCUUGAGUUUGACAUUCUUGCCAUAUAUGAUAAUCUGGAGAACUUUUUUCAAUAUCUAUACUUUGGGAAGUUAAUUUUGCUUGUUUAGUCAAACAUUUAUUUUCUUUUGUACAGAGGAAAAAGAGAGUGGGAAAGAAAAUGUAUAAUAAAUAGAUGUAAACAACAUGACAAAGUAAAAGAUAAAAACUAUAACUAUUGAUUUCUAAAUCUUGUUGAAAGUUGAGUCGGAUUGAUUAAACCUCGUUUUUAAUAUCAGGCUUAAGACUCAAAAAUUGUAAAUGAGUAAUAAUUGUAAUGUACUAGUAUUGUUGUGGCUUGUUUAUUGUUGCCAUAGCAACUGCCUACCAAGAUGGCUGUCAGUUAAAACAAAGAAAGUUGUAAUCUAUAUUUUCAGUUUGUUUUUGUUAGCUUUUUAAAGGCACCAUGUAGUUCUUAUUAUAAAUAGUUUUUCUCCAUUAAUUCGCGUUUUUACUUUUAUCAGCAGAAAUGUUUCAGUGUUAUUUGUUACCUGUGUUACCUCCUGAAAAUGGCGUUAGCUACAGUUUAUUAGCUCUAGCUAGCUUAGUGAACAAGCAGAUCACCAGCUAAUCACGUUAGCAUGUUUCAGUAGAUAUCUUGUGUCUAACGGUUCAUGGAAAGUUUGAGGAGUUUAGCUGAAACCAAACGUUUUGUGUUUUGAGAAUCUCCUGCAACAUUAGCCAUGACUUAUUAUGUUUUGUUUAUAGAUUAUAAUCCACUAUAAUCUACCUGCUUCAUCGGGCCAGCUAGGUGAAAAAUAUAACAAAGAUAUACAAUUUCUGAGGGUAUGUAAACUUCUGAACUUCACACUUCGCUGGUAAAGAAGAAGCUUGUUCAGGUCGGAGGACCCAGGAAGCAAUCGUCUUUCGAAAGAUUGACGGAACCUCACAGCCCACACUUUGCCUUCCUGAGCGCUGGAAGCUGACACUGAUCCAACCUAAAUAUCCCAGCAGCAGGAAUGAGUCAGGAAGUCCGGAGUCUGCUGAGGAAAGCCUGGACCUCUCCUGGGUACAGUGCGUCCGGCCGGAGUAAACGCUGCGUCAGAUCUCUUUCCGAUGACUUUGUCACGUUUCGGGAUGAAUAUUUAGGCGCGGCUCCGCGCGGCCACCCACAGCAGAGAAAAUCCCGGGGUCAUCAGACAGCGCGGCUGUGUGCUGGACACAGAAGAUUAGCUUUGACAGUGUUUUCCACUGAUUGUAAUGAAAACAAAUUAGCCAGUGUGGAGAGUGGGGCUGUUAAUGCUGGGCCCCAUGAGGGCCGUAAACGGCCUCGCACAGCAGAGCAUGACUAACCUAAUUAAAGCUGCUACACAAGUGGA